Molecule: transfer RNA, 71 nt
Filed under: Trichius succinctus
Lineage: Eukaryota; Metazoa; Arthropoda; Insecta; Coleoptera; Scarabaeidae
Description: tRNA-Met
Rfam family: tRNA
About the family: Transfer RNA (tRNA) molecules are approximately 80 nucleotides in length. Their secondary structure includes four short double-helical elements and three loops (D, anti-codon, and T loops). Further hydrogen bonds mediate the characteristic L-shaped molecular structure. tRNAs have two regions of fundamental functional importance: the anti-codon, which is responsible for specific mRNA codon recognition, and the 3' end, to which the tRNAs corresponding amino acid is attached (by aminoacyl-tRNA synthetases). tRNAs cope with the degeneracy of the genetic code in two manners: having more than one tRNA (with a specific anti-codon) for a particular amino acid; and 'wobble' base-pairing, i.e. permitting non-standard base-pairing at the 3rd anti-codon position.
Source: RNAcentral
UAAAAAGGUAAGCUAAUUAAGCUAAUGGGUUCAUACCCCAUGAAUAAAGGUUCUAACCCUUUUCUUUUUAA